UGCACAAGUACAAUAUACACAAACAGGAUACAACCACCAUCUAUGAACAUACACAUAUUUAUCCACCAUUCACAUUCACAUUCAGAAUUUACCCAUAAAUCUACAACUAUUAGUUUUAAAUGUUUCCUACCCGGAAACUCAUUUUAAAACACUAAGUCAUGAAAACCAAGAAAAGCUUUUUUAAAAACUGUUUUCCACACGGAAACCUUUUCCUUUUAAAACUCGCUACCACGAGGGGUAGAAAGCUAUUUUCAGUUUACAAGAAUCAUGAAUCCUUUAUUACAUUCAUAAAAUCCAAAUAAUUCCAUUCAUAUAAAAUACUGAACCAUAAAUACUGUCUAAAUCAUUUAUUAAAAG
Molecule: long non-coding RNA, 357 nt
Filed under: Ananas comosus (pineapple)
Lineage: Eukaryota; Viridiplantae; Streptophyta; Magnoliopsida; Poales; Bromeliaceae
Description: long non-coding RNA (ACOM_LNC025968)
Source: RNAcentral